GUGGAACCAAUAAUGUCUUCAGGCUCUUAUUCUCUUCAUUUCUUAAUGUUUUUCAUCUAUCAGUUAUGAUAGGGUUAGUGUUUCCCUGAAGCUUCUACUUUCCUCCUGGUUACAACAUAGAGAAACUUUAUCAAAGAGAAGACAAAGCUACCCUUAGGACCUGAUUGGCCUAUGUAAUUUUCUUAACCUUCCCUGACACAGAUUUCUGGUCAUCUAAGGGUGUAAAAAGUCCCAGUCAUGUGGAAUCUAGACCCUUUGAACUUAAUGAACAUCUGAAGCCUGGGUACAGGUGACAGAGUCCCUGGUUCUGCAAUCAUGAAACAAGAAGACCUGGGAGUAAACAUUACAGAAUCCUCCUGCCACUCCAUUUGGAUAUAGCUUUCUUCAAGCAAGCCACUUAGCAGAACUUUCCAAGUCUGUUCCUUUCUCAUAUCCAAAGUGGACACUUUCUCUUCCAAUAAGGAUUCAUGCUUGCUAAGGCUACCUCCUCCUCAGAGGGACUAUUUCUCUUCAUCUUUGUCUAUCUUGGGGAUGAUAUCCCUCAUCUACUUAUGUUAGAGGCAGCUCAGCCAUCAGCACUCUUUGUUCAAGCUCUAUGUUGGGAUGAAAUGAGGCACGUAUAACAAAAGAAGACUUCUUCUGCCUUAGAACAGCAAGCAUAUGUGACAGAAAUACAUCGACACCUAUCAUCUCUGGAU
Molecule: long non-coding RNA, 698 nt
Filed under: Monodelphis domestica (gray short-tailed opossum)
Lineage: Eukaryota; Metazoa; Chordata; Mammalia; Didelphimorphia; Didelphidae
Description: lncRNA (ENSMODG00000031795.2)
Source: RNAcentral